AUUCUCUACAAAUUUGCAGAAGAAAGUUUUUCCAAAUUCCAAACAGAAAUUGACCAAAAUCCAUAAACGGACGAUUUUACAGUCUAUAAUCAAUUUUCGGUCAAGAAUUGUGUCCACCGACACACAAAACAUGUGUUAAACAUUUAAUGCCACAAAAUACUCUACCUCCUCAUAUACUCAUAUAUCCCACAUUCAUUAUAAAAA
This 204-nucleotide long non-coding RNA is filed under the name Panax ginseng (ginseng). Its description in RNAcentral is "long non-coding RNA (PGIN_LNC002060)". The record is from RNAcentral. Lineage: Eukaryota; Viridiplantae; Streptophyta; Magnoliopsida; Apiales; Araliaceae.